Long non-coding RNA from Siniperca chuatsi (mandarin fish), 4062 nucleotides. RefSeq lists it as uncharacterized. The transcript is spliced from 4 exons. The record is from RefSeq and is a predicted model, not a curated record. NCBI's taxonomy places the organism in Eukaryota, Metazoa, Chordata, Actinopteri, Centrarchiformes, Sinipercidae.
GCAUCUGUAUGUGUGGGUUUAUGGGAGUGGGUUUCUUUUCCAGAGUGCGUUUUAAUGCGCUUGGAAGUUGUUGUGGUUGUGUUUGUGUGUGUGUGUGUGUGUGUGUGUGUGUGUGUGUUUGUGUAUGUCUUCUCCCCAAGUGGUUGAUGUCACUCAGUAGCAGAGCAGAGGAGCAUCUCCGGUUUCCUGGGCUCACAAAGAAAAUAACGGCCGCUCUGUUGCAGCGCUCCAUUCUUCCAGCAGCCUACAGAGACCUGGAUUUCACUGACUCCUCUAAACUGGACAAAACACAGUAAGCAAGUAUGUGUUACAAAAUGGACCUACCGGGCACAGAUGCAGGGGCCAAAGAGGUAUCGGAAGCACCGAAGAAAGAUUGUCUGGGAUCCCAAAGGGCGAAAGAAUGAAACUUGAGCCUCGGAUAAAAGCACUCAUUUAUUGGGUUAUCGAACCGAAGGACAGAGAGCUGUUGGUGGUGGAAGAGGAGGUGGGGGGUGAGGCAGUGGUCCUGACUGUCUGCCGUGGCCCCCCGAGAGAGCGAGCGGGAGUCAUGGAUUUAAAAAACAAAUGAACGGUUACAAGAGGAGAGAGAAGGGGAGUAAUCUGACCCCUCCCCUGUUUUGCAUUCACAUUCAAGAAAUACUCUCGGCUACUUCUACACCCCCACCCACCCACCCAGAACUGGUCUGAACACACACACACACACUCCUCCUCCUCUGAGAGACAGCUUUCAGAAUUGGAUUACCAGCUCUGAAUGGGGUCGGUUCCCCUCCGCUGGGUUUCAUCUCCAUCCCCUGUCGGGACUAGUGGUCCACACUCUAACACACACACACACACACACACACACACACACGCUCACACACUAGUCCUCCUUAAUUGGUGGGCUGUGCCCUCAUUACAUGUCCAAAUAUAUGCAUGUGCUGCCAUUGUCUCUCCCCAAAGACUCCCUCUUUGAAUGCGGACUGAAAGCGUGCGCCAUGCUGUGUGUUUGUGUGCGUGUGUGCGUGUAGUGAUCACAGCUGUGGAUGUGUCCUUGAUGGCGGUGAACUUGAAUCUCAAUCUGACGCUAUUCUUCUCUGGGGGGGUUCGGAGACAAAGCUUCAUACUGCUUAUGGGGACACCCUGAGCACUCUUUCACUCACCGACCUACACACACACACACACACACACACACACACACACACACACAUAUACACACACCCACACACACACAUGCAGGUGAGCUCAGUGGGAGCUCGGAGAAAGAGAUCUGGUGUCUUGUUUUCUGCUGCAGGCAGUUGCUCUCACACUGAUAAAUAUAUAUAUAAUACCUCCGAAUAAAAUAUUCAAGCACAAGUGAGUAAAAUGGCAGAACCUCUUCAGCAAAAAACACAAUUAUCUCAAAUCUAAACCAAACACUGCAGCAGUGAGGGAACCAAAACACUCCCUGAGCUCAUUUUUGGUCAUCUAAAAUGCAGACCAGCUGCUUGCUGACGAACAUUUUCGGAUAAAAUAUACCUCCAGACAGCAAUCCAUAGCUAUCAAAGACAGCUUUUAUGUAUUUGGUUUUGUAAAGCUAACAGGUAUAAAGUCAACAACCAUUGUAAAAUCAAAUAAAGUGCAGCUGCCACUACAUUUUACAUGGUUAAAGUUUUAUUUCCUCAACAUCGUGCAAUAUAUAAAGAAACUAUUUGUAACUGGCCAGUUUCCUUCCUGCUUUGUCUGCCUCAAUGCAUCUAUCAAAAUGCUGGUUUUAAUCCCUGAUUAUCAAACAGUGGAGGUUUUUAAAGAGGUAUGAUGGGAAAUAAAGUUCUGCUUUAUCUCCAUGAUCUCCAACUUGUGUAUUUUCUGCUUGAAUUAUGGGGAAAAUAUUCCCAAAUCUCAAGACAUGGAAAUAAGUCCAUAGUUUUCUUGCUGAUUCAUUGAAAUUUAUGAUAUAUUGAAGCUGCUUUAAUCAAUAUUUCAAUAUUAGCAAUGGAUCAAUGUCUUUAUGUAAUGUGAAUGAGGGUUGCUCAUAGUGACUUCACUAAGCUCUGCUGAGUUUUUUAGCAUCUUUGAGUUCAUUGUUUUCGUUUUACUUUAAUGUGUCACUCUCACCAGCUUAGUUUUCGGCAGGCAGCUGUUUUCAGUGAAAGAGCUCCGAUAAACCCACUGUACGCCACCUGCUCAGUACCAAACGACCAUCAGUUAGCGACUAGCUGGUGAACAUUUAGCAGCUCAAGAGCCAGAUAUUUUUCUCAGGAGUUGGUGGAGACCAAAACAGAGCUGAAAGAGUGAAUAUUGGACUUAUAUUCAUCAGGUGGCCAGAAACACGACUUAAAGUGAAUGAUAAUGUUGUUCUGUGUUCGCUGGAUGUAUAAACAAAAAGACGUUGUCUCUAUUGUGUUUACAGCUUGUUGUGCUGCCCCAAGUGAACUGAAUAAACUGAAUAAGUAACUAACUAACUUUUUUAAAGUGCUGUGGAGAAAAUCACAACACUUGUAUAGAAACAAGGGCUGACUAAUUAUAGUGGAGAAAAAGUGUUGAUUUGCAUUUAAAAUUUCUUCCAGACUUCUUCCAGACUUUUUCUCAUUUAUUUUGUCAGAUGUCUUUUUGAGCGCAGAAACAUGUUCCAGUAUUCAGGAAUUACAUAAUGACAAUAAUGACCCUAGACAAUUUUAUUUGUUUGAUUAUAUAUAUAUAUUUUUGUUCUUUCAUUUCCUGUUCUAAUCCAUCCAUCUGUCAAUCAUCCUUCUUUCAUCGUUUAACAGAUUAUUGUGCCGACAGCAGAGGCGUGAUUAGUCAGCCAGAGGUGUGACCGUCACGCCUGUCAUCCCUCACUUUACACAUCCCUCGCUUAACCCCAACCUCAGUAAAAACGAUACUUAACCAUAUUCUCCUUCACGUUCUCGCCUCCACACCCACAUCCCCAUCACUCCCUCCUUACUUUCACACUCUCACUCAUUUCCCCCCUCUAUCUGUCUCUGUCUAGAAGGUUUUCUGUACGAUGACCUGGUUGUGCUGGCAGCGACAUGCUUAUGCAAUGCAUGUUAGAGCUUCUGGUGACACACAGACAAAGAGGAGAGGACUGGAGGUGGAGUGUUUAUGUGAAUGUAUGUACAGAAGAAAGGAGGACACAGGGCUUUUUUCAGUGUGUGGGGUGUGUGAGACAACAGCUGUGGAUAAUAUUCAUAUCAGUGUUUCUCUUGUCUGCUGAAGAUUGAAAUGUGACCUACUGACAACAAUUGACUACAUGAGUCUGGAAAAAAAGUAAAUAGUACACUUUGCUCUUUUUCUCUCUCAUUUCAGUGCUGGAUGAUUUACAUUAGAAUAAUGUUGGUUAUACAUGACAUUUUGUAGAUUUAAAAUAAAACCAUGUUGUCUUGAAACAAGACAAUAGAGCAAUACCAUUCAGUACUUAGUUGUAAUCAUAGAUGUACAGAAGUCAAAAAAUGAGAAUGAUUUUUAUUACCUCAUGACAUCUAUGAAAUGUUGAUCAUAGCAUGAUUAUGUCAUCAGGGGCAGAGAUUUGAGAAGCAGUAAGCUGCGGUUUUAAACCAAAAAACUUUAAGAAACCCCAGUAUGUUACCUGCCCAGCACCAAAUGUCAGAAAGUUAAAAGUUAGCAACUAGCUGGUGAACAUAGUGGAGCAUUAAGCAGCUAAAGAACCAGAUAUUUCAGGAGGUGGUAGAGACCAAAACAGAGCUAAAAAGAGUAAACUUACAUUGGCCAGAUAUCCACAAACAUGACUGUCAAUAAAUUAUAUUUUUGUUCCAUGUCUGCUGGAUAUGUAAGUAGGAAAAUGUUUGCUAACACCACAACAACUUUAUAAGUGGAUAAUAAGUAAAUGUUGUGUUUCCAGUUUACAGCAGACACCAAGUGGCCAAAAAAAAGAGGUCGCUUUUCAGGAAAAUGUAGGUUGUUGUAAAUAUUUGAACUAACGAAGAAAAUUAAAACGAGCACUUUACUCACACUUUCAAAAUGCUUCAAAAUCAUAAGUAGCACCACUCUUUUGAAAGCACACAUGCAAAUUCCAACUGUUGCCAUUUAAGUCCCAGAUCAAGAAAGGAAAGAAACUUAAGUAUACAACUAAAAACUAUAGUCCAA